RNAcentral lists this ribosomal RNA (1220 nucleotides) under Cardiothorax howitti. RNAcentral describes it as "SSU rRNA". It matches the Rfam family "Eukaryotic small subunit ribosomal RNA", at positions 32 to 1195 of the family's 1831-position model. Lineage: Eukaryota; Metazoa; Arthropoda; Insecta; Coleoptera; Tenebrionidae. The record is from RNAcentral.
UUGUCUCAAAGAUUAAGCCAUGCAUGUCUCAGUACAAGCCAAAUUAAGGUGAAACCGCGAAAGGCUCAUUAAAUCAGUUAUGGUUCCUUAGAUCGUACCCACAUUACUUGGAUAACUGUGGUAAUUCUAGAGCUAAUACAUGCAAACAGAGCUCCGACCGGAGACGGAAGGAGCGCUUUUAUUAGAUCAAAACCAAUCGGUGGCGGUUUACGCCGUCAUCGUACAACUUGGUGACUCUGAAUAACUUUACGCUGAUCGCACGGUCUUGCACCGGCGACGCAUCUUUCAAAUGUCUGCCUUAUCAACUGUCGAUGGUAGGUUCUGCGCCUACCAUGGUUGUAACGGGUAACGGGGAAUCAGGGUUCGAUUCCGGAGAGGGAGCCUGAGAAACGGCUACCACAUCCAAGGAAGGCAGCAGGCGCGCAAAUUACCCACUCCCGGCACGGGGAGGUAGUGACGAAAAAUAACGAUACGGGACUCAUCCGAGGCCCCGUAAUCGGAAUGAGUACACUCUAAACCCUUUAACGAGGAUCAAUUGGAGGGCAAGUCUGGUGCCAGCAGCCGCGGUAAUUCCAGCUCCAAUAGCGUAUAUUAAAGUUGUUGCGGUUAAAAAGCUCGUAGUCGAAUCUGUGUCCCGCGCCGCCGGUUCAUCGUUCGCGGUGUUAACUGGCGUGCCGCGGGACGUCCUGCCGGUGGGCUUAGCUCGCAAGGGCGGCCCAACUCAAUCCCGCCGCGGUGCUCUUCAUUGAGUGUCGAGGUGGGCCGGCACGUUUACUUUGAACAAAUUAGAGUGCUUAAAGCAGGCUAAAACUUUGCCUGAAUACUGUGUGCAUGGAAUAAUGGAAUAGGACCUCGGUUCUAUUUUGUUGGUUUUCGGAACCCCGAGGUAAUGAUUAAUAGGAACGGAUGGGGGCAUUCGUAUUGCGACGUUAGAGGUGAAAUUCUUGGAUCGUCGCAAGACGGACAGAAGCGAAAGCAUUUGCCAAAAACGCUUUCAUUGAUCAAGAACGAAAGUUAGAGGUUCGAAGGCGAUCAGAUACCGCCCUAGUUCUAACCAUAAACGAUGCCAGCUAGCGAUCCGCCGACGUUCCUCCGAUGACUCGGCGGGCAGCUUCCGGGAAACCAAAGCUUUUGGGUUCCGGGGGAAGUAUGGUUGCAAAGCUGAAACUUAAAGGAAUUGACGGAAGGGCACCACCAGGAGUGGAGCCUGCGGCUUAAUU